UACGGAGGGAGCUAGCGUUGUUCGGAAUUACUGGGCGUAAAGCGCGCGUAGGCGGCUAUGUAAGUUAGAGGUGAAAGCCCGGGGCUCAACCCCGGAACAGCCUUUAAGACUGCAUCGCUAGAAUCCGGGAGAGGUGAGUGGAAUUCCGAGUGUAGAGGUGAAAUUCGUAGAUAUUCGGAAGAACACCAGUGGCGAAGGCGGCUCACUGGACCGGUAUUGACGCUGAGGUGCGAAAGCGUGGGGAGCAAACAGG
This 253-nucleotide ribosomal RNA is filed under the name uncultured bacterium. RNAcentral describes it as "partial 16S ribosomal RNA". It matches the Rfam family "Bacterial small subunit ribosomal RNA", at positions 524 to 776 of the family's 1533-position model. The record is from RNAcentral.